UGGGGGAUAUUGCGCAAUGGGGGCAACCCUGACGCAGCAACGCCGCGUGAAGGAUGAAGGUUUUCGGAUUGUAAACUUCUUUUAUUAAGGACGAAAAAUGACGGUACUUAAUGAAUAAGCUCCGGCUAACUACGUGCCAGCAGCCGCGGUAAUACGUAGGGAGCAAGCGUUGUCCGGAUUUACUGGGUGUAAAGGGUGCGUAGGCGGCUUUGCAAGUCAGAUGUGAAAUCUAUGGGCUCAACCCAUAAACUGCAUUUGAAACUGUAGAGCUUGAGUGAAGUAGAGGCAGGCGGAAUUCCCCGUGUAGCGGUGAAAUGCGUAGAGAUGGGGAGGAAUACCAGUGGCGAAGGCGGCCUGCUGGGCUUUAACUGACGCUGAGGCACGAAAGCGUGGGUAGCAAACAGGAUUAGAUACCCUGGUAGUCCACGCUGUAAACGAUGAUUACUAGGUGUGGGGGGUCUGACCCCUUCCGUGCCGGAGUUAACACAAUAAGUAAUCCACCUGGGGAGUACGGCCGCAAGGUUGAAACUCAAAGGAAUUGACGGGGGCCCGCACAAGCAGUGGAGUAUGUGGUUUAAUUCGAAGCAACGCGAAGAACCUUACCAGGUCUUGACAUCCAACUAACGAAGUAGAGAUACAUUAGGUGCCCUUCGGGGAAAGUUGAGACAGGUGGUGCAUGGUUGUCGUCAGCUCGUGUCGUGAGAUGUUGGGUUAAGUCCCGCAACGAGCGCAACCCUUGCUAUUAGUUGCUACGCAAGAGCACUCUAAUAGGACUGCCGUUGACAAAACGGAGGAAGGUGGGGACGACGUCAAAUCAUCAUGCCCCUUAUGACCUGGGCUACACACGUACUACAAUGGAUGUUAACAGAGGGAAGCAAGACAGCGAUGUGGAGCAAACCCCUAAAAACAUUCUCAGUUCAGAUUGCAGGCUGCAACCCGCCUGCAUGAAGAUGGAAUUGCUAGUAAUCGCGGAUCAGCAUGCCGCGGUGAAUACGUUCCC
RNAcentral lists this ribosomal RNA (1000 nucleotides) under uncultured bacterium. RNAcentral's name for it is "bacterial SSU rRNA". It matches the Rfam family "Bacterial small subunit ribosomal RNA", at positions 355 to 1375 of the family's 1533-position model. The record is from RNAcentral. RNAcentral also lists the same sequence under 1 other name.